RNAcentral lists this ribosomal RNA (253 nucleotides) under uncultured bacterium. RNAcentral describes it as "partial 16S ribosomal RNA". It matches the Rfam family "Bacterial small subunit ribosomal RNA", at positions 524 to 776 of the family's 1533-position model. The record is from RNAcentral.
GACGAAGGAUGCAAGUGUUAUCCGGAUUCAUUGGGUUUAAAGGGAGCGUAGGUGGCCUUAUAAGUCAGUGGUGAAAUCUCCGGGCUUAACCCGGAAACUGCCAUUGAUACUAUUUGUCUUGAAUACUGUGGAGGUCAGCGGAAUAUGUCAUGUAGCGGUGAAAUGCUUAGAUAUGACAUAGAACACCAAUUGCGAAGGCAGCUGGCUACACAAAUAUUGACACUGAGGCACGAAAGCGUGGGGAUCAAACAGG